This 1083-nucleotide long non-coding RNA is filed under the name Physcomitrium patens. RNAcentral's name for it is "long non-coding RNA (PPAT_LNC000293)". Lineage: Eukaryota; Viridiplantae; Streptophyta; Bryopsida; Funariales; Funariaceae. The record is from RNAcentral.
UUUGCAAAGUCAAGGUUUGUUUUGGAUGACUUGGAUUUUGUGAAAUAAAAUAUGAUUUACGUUUUGGGUGAUUUCAAGAGUUUUGUAAUAGAUCUACAAAUGAAAUUUUUUGGAUUAAUAGUUAUAGUUGUUAUAAAUUUGAGCUCGAUCUAACGAUUGAAUUGAAGGUUAUUGAGGUUUAAGUGAGUCAAGAUCUCAAAAAGUAGAAUUUUAGGUCUAGUGAGAGUUUUUAAGAUUUCUUAUAAUUUAGUAAUUGUAUUGGAGUGAAAUUUAUGUGAAAGGAUAUUAGACUUCUUUUUCUAUAUAUAUGAGAAUUUUAAAAUCAAUCGAAUGGUGAAAAAGAAAGAUAUUUACUCUAGGAGAUUGGCAUCAAGAUUGGAGAAGGAUGUUGACGAAUACCUGAGCACAUUUUUGAAGUUAUGUGUAUUUGAUAAUUUCGAUCUUUUUAAAACUUUUUAUGCUUAUUUUAAAUUAAGUUUUUAAGAAGUAUGAAAAUUUUGAGUUAAGAUCAACGAUUUAUUCAUUAAUUAUUGAGGUUUAAAUCUAUUGUAGGAUUUAGGAUUUGGGUUAGGAUUUGGUUAGGGUUUGAUUUAGGAUUUAAGGUUUGGUUUAGGGUUUGAUUGGGAUUUGAUUUAGAAUUUAAUUUAGGAUUAGGAUUUAGUUAGGAUUUGAUUUAGGAUUUAGGAUUUGAUUAGGAUUUGGUUUAGGGUUUGUUUAGGAUUUGGUUUAGGGUUUAGGAUUUUAUUAGGAUUUAUUAAGAUUUAAGAUUUAGUUAGUUUUGGCCUAAAGUUUGAAUAAAGUCCAAUAGGAUUUUAACUAAGAUUAAAUUAAUAUUAAAUUGAGAUAUAUUUUAGAUAUAUUUGUGAUCAAUCUAAUAUUUCUUUAAGAUUUCUUAUUGUUUCUUUGAAAUUUCUUUGAAGUCUCUUUGAAUUUGAUUAAAGCUUGUUUAGAAUUGUUAAUAUUCUAUUAGAAUUAGGAUUUUGUUGUUGCAAUUUACAUUCUACCUUCCACAGCCAGAUGUGCUGAGUAUUUUCAAAAAAGACUUCACGUAUUAUGAUACUGCUCUUUAUGGAAGUCAUUCCU